Long non-coding RNA from Populus euphratica (Euphrates poplar), 1592 nucleotides. RefSeq lists it as uncharacterized. The record is from RefSeq and is a predicted model, not a curated record. The transcript is spliced from 3 exons. Lineage: Eukaryota; Viridiplantae; Streptophyta; Magnoliopsida; Malpighiales; Salicaceae.
CUUCCAAUUGAAGAUCUCAUUGGGCUGGGAUUAUCAAUGACAUCAUUUGCCAGUAAGUUACUCAAAACUUACAAAUAUAAAAGUAAACCAAAAUAUUUUACUCAAACAAUGUUACAAGCUGAGAGAAAAAAUAAUAAACAUCUAUUCCUCGACCUUCAAUUUGAAGAUCUCAUAGAGCUGGGAUUAUCAAUGAUCAGCAUAGCCAGAUCCUCAAGAUUUGCAAUUAUGAAAAAAAAUGAAACAUCUUACUAGAACAUGUUAUAGGCUUAGAAAGAAAUGGAUAACAUCUAUUCCUGGACCUUCCAAUUGAAGAUCUCAUAAAGCUGGGAUUAUCAAUGACAUCAUUGCCAGAAAUUUCCUCUCAACGCUCCAUAUUUUAAGAGUAAAAUAAAAUACGGUGUACUCAAACAAUGUUAUAGGCUCAGAAAGAAUUCCUAGACCUUGUAUUCGAGGAUCUCAUCGAGCUGGGAUUAUCAAUGAAAUUAUUUCCAGUAAGUUCCUCAAGACUCAAAAUUAUAAACAUAAAAUGAAAUAUCUUCUUGGACAAUGUUAUAAGCUUGGACAUAAAAUGAUAACAAAUAAUCCUGGACCUUCCAAUUGAAGAUCACAUAGAGCUGGGAUUAUCAGUGACAUCAUUGCCAGCCAAGUUCCUCUAGACAUGAAAUUAUAGAAGUACAACUUUACUAGAAUGUACAGUAACAGAGAGAGGCAUGGUAUCAUUUCUCCUCCCAUUAAUUCAUGGCCCCCAUUUGGUUUUUCACGAAUUGUAAUGAGAUGAGGAUGCGAUUUCCAUUUAAUAAAAUUCAGAUUUUGAUUAUUAUGAAAUGCAAUCUACAUGGCUUAAACAGAGUAAUUUCCUCAACUACGAUUACUCAUUUUUAUAGGAUUACUUUAUACAGCAAGACUCCAAAACAAAACAGAAUAGCAUAUUUAUUAAUAGAUCAUCAUCACUGUUCUUGAUUUUUUUUUAAAAAAAGAACCUCUCAAAGCUCUCGACUUUCUACGCAAAAGUCAUGGUUUUACCUCAAAAGUCCAUCUGGGUCACAAGGAAACCAAGCACUUCGAAGUGCAGUCCGGCGAUCACAGGAUUUAAACCCGGUUUGAGCCCCAACAAACCCAAGAAGUUUAGGCCUGUCAAUCAAUUCUCCGUCUACCCGAACCAGAAUAAAAUGCUCGAAAAGUGUCCUCAGAUUUGCUACAACGAAAAACUGGAACAGGUUUGAGCCUGCAGAUCUGAGAUAGCGAUCCCAGAAAGGCCAGUGAGAAGAGAUAUCAGUGAAAAGACUAGAAAAGGUAGAGGGUAACGGGUUGAGGGAGGGAUAAAGUUGGGUUUUGAGGCUUUGGGAUUGUUGGUGGUUGGGAUGGCGGAGGAGAGUCAGAGAUGUAGCGGUGGGAAAAGUGUGGCAUUUGAUUUGGUGGAGAGCUACCGUGUUCGGUUGAACUGGAAGAGCGGAAGUGCGAAACAGGAGUAGAAGCAGGGUUCCGAGGAUGUUGUAAAAAAUUUCACAACUAACAAUGCUACGCUGUGAUUUAAUUUAUGUAUUUAUUUUUCUGCACAAUGAAAUAAAGUUUUUUUUAAAAAAAAAUAUAUU